Molecule: non-coding RNA, 72 nt
Organism: Clostridium sp. CAG:269
Lineage: Bacteria; Bacillati; Bacillota; Clostridia; Eubacteriales; Clostridiaceae
Source: Rfam
GGCCCGUUGGUCAAGCGGCUAAGACGCCACCCUCUCAAGGUGGAAUCAUGAGUUCGAUUCUCGUACGGGUCA